AGGAAAAGAAACUAACAAGGAUUCCCCUAGUAACGGCGAGUGAAGCGGGAAGAGCUCAAAUUUGAAAUCUGGUAGCCUUCGGUUGCCCGAGUUGUAAUCUAGAGAAGUGUUUUCCGCGUUGGCCCAUGUACAAGUCCCUUGGAACAGGGCGUCAUAGAGGGUGAGAAUCCCGUCCUUGACAUGGACCCCCAAUGCUUUGUGAUACACUUUCAACGAGUCGAGUUGUUUGGGAAUGCAGCUCAAAAUGGGUGGUGAAUUCCAUCUAAAGCUAAAUAUUGGCGAGAGACCGAUAGCGAACAAGUACCGUGAGGGAAAGAUGAAAAGCACUUUGGAAAGAGAGUUAAACAGUACGUGAAAUUGUUGAAAGGGAAACGAUUGAAGUCAGUCAUGCUCUUUGGAUUAAGCCGUUCUGCGGUGUAUUUCAUUGAGCGGGGUCAACAUCAGUUUUGAUCGCUGGAAAAGGGCAGGAGGAAGGUAGCACUCUCGGGUGAACUUAUAGCCUCUUGUCGUAUACAGUGAUUGGGACUGAGGAACGCAGCAUGCCUUUUGGCCGGGAUUCGUCCACGUACAUGCUU
RNAcentral lists this ribosomal RNA (575 nucleotides) under Naganishia globosa. Its description in RNAcentral is "partial large subunit ribosomal RNA". It matches the Rfam family "Eukaryotic large subunit ribosomal RNA", at positions 54 to 618 of the family's 3401-position model. The record is from RNAcentral. Lineage: Eukaryota; Fungi; Basidiomycota; Tremellomycetes; Filobasidiales; Filobasidiaceae.